Molecule: long non-coding RNA, 507 nt
Organism: Uranotaenia lowii
Lineage: Eukaryota; Metazoa; Arthropoda; Insecta; Diptera; Culicidae
Exons: 3
Source: RefSeq, a predicted model, not a curated record
UCCAAUACAAAAUAUAGAAAAAUCCAAUGAAUUUCAGUAACUUGUUAUACCUAGAAAAAUUUAUAGAAAAUUCCUAUACAUUUAAUCAUUUUGAAGUUAAUAUACAUAUCAGCGUGCCUGAAUCGUUGGUUAAGAAGAAACAGGUUUCAUUAUUGUUCGGGAAACAUAAACCGAGAAGAACGAUUUUAUGUGUACUUCGGUAUCAGUAAUGUUCCGCCAAAGGAUUUAACCAGCUGAACCUCAUCGCCGCGACAUUAGCCAAAAAUUUAUGGAGGUAAAUAAUUGUUGGGCUUGGAAUGCCGGACAGCAGCACAGAAAAACAGCUUCGGAUUUCAGCGAGUACGAGCACAGUACUGUCUUUAACAUACAUAGAAAACAUAACCUCGCUGGAAGAACGUAAAAUUUUAUGUACCGUGUUUAAAAAUCAAUGCGUUUAAUGAUCCGAAUAUGUCGAGUGGAGCGGAUAUAACGGAGUCAUAAAUUCCAUCUAGAACAGGAAAGUUUUCG